Molecule: ribosomal RNA, 377 nt
Filed under: uncultured eukaryote
Lineage: Eukaryota
Description: partial 18S ribosomal RNA
Rfam family: Eukaryotic small subunit ribosomal RNA
Source: RNAcentral
CAAUAGCGUAUAUUUAAGUUGCUGCAGUUAAAAAGCUCGUAGUUGGAUUUCGGGUGGGAAUGGCCGGUCCGCCGUUUCGGUGUGCACUUGCUACGCCCACCUUGCUGCCGGGGACGUGCUCUUGAGUUCACGCUCGGGACACGGAUUCGGCGAGGUUACUUUGAGUAAAUUAGAGUGUUCAAAGCAGGCCUACGCUCUGAAUACAUUAGCAUGGAAUAACACGAUAGGACUCUGGCCUAUCUUGUUGGUCUGUAGGACCGGAGUAAUGAUUAAGAGGGACAGUCGGGGGCAUUCGUAUUUCAUUGUCAGAGGUGAAAUUCUUGGAUUUAUGAAAGACGAACUACUGCGAAAGCAUUUGCCAAGGAUGUUUUCAUUAA